UGGAGUAUGGUGUACCGGUAUCAUUUGUCCCUUGACGUAUGUCCUUAUGGAUCAGAACUGGGUUCGACUCCCAGUACUCCAA
Molecule: non-coding RNA, 82 nt
Organism: Recurvomyces mirabilis
Lineage: Eukaryota; Fungi; Ascomycota; Dothideomycetes; Mycosphaerellales; Teratosphaeriaceae
Source: the annotation of a RefSeq genome assembly